RNAcentral lists this ribosomal RNA (253 nucleotides) under uncultured bacterium. RNAcentral's name for it is "partial 16S ribosomal RNA". It matches the Rfam family "Bacterial small subunit ribosomal RNA", at positions 524 to 776 of the family's 1533-position model. The record is from RNAcentral.
UACAGGGGGUGCAAACGUUGCUCGGAAUCACUGGGCGUAAAGCGCACGUAGGCGGUUCGUUAUGUCGGAUGUGAAAGCCCUUGGCUUAACCGAGGAAGUGCAUCCGAGACUGGCGAGCUAGAGUACGAAAGAGGAUCGCGGAAUUCCCGGUGUAGAGGUGAAAUUCGUAGAUAUCGGGAGGAACACCGGUGGCGAAGGCGGCGAUCUGGGUCGAUACUGACGCUGAGGUGCGAAAGCGUGGGGAGCAAACAGG